RNAcentral lists this ribosomal RNA (91 nucleotides) under Oscillospiraceae bacterium. RNAcentral describes it as "partial 16S ribosomal RNA". It matches the Rfam family "Bacterial small subunit ribosomal RNA", at positions 1 to 94 of the family's 1533-position model. Lineage: Bacteria; Bacillati; Bacillota; Clostridia; Eubacteriales; Oscillospiraceae. The record is from RNAcentral.
UUUUUUAGAGAGUUUGAUCCUGGCUCAGGACGAACGCUGGCGGCGUGCCUAACACAUGCAAGUCGAACGAGGUUACUUUGAUUAAUCCUUC